UAGAUUCAAAUUCCUCCGUAGCUCUGGUCCUGACCAAUCGACCAGGCAAUCGACCACGCAAUCGACCACUUUGGUAGAUUCAUAUUCCUCCGUAGCUCUGGUCCUGACCAAUCGACCACGGAAUCGACCACUUGGUCUAUUGUCCUGCUAGCUUCUCCACUUUGGUCACUUUGCAUUCUUUUAGCUCCUUUGUUUGCUCCAUUUGCUCCAUUUUACUUCCAAAACUUUAAACUCCACUCAUGUACCUAAGAAAACCAAAUGCAAAUGCAAAU
This 272-nucleotide small RNA is filed under the name Arabidopsis thaliana (thale cress). RNAcentral describes it as "ATSL096570". Lineage: Eukaryota; Viridiplantae; Streptophyta; Magnoliopsida; Brassicales; Brassicaceae. The record is from RNAcentral.